This 619-nucleotide ribosomal RNA is filed under the name uncultured soil bacterium. Its description in RNAcentral is "bacterial SSU rRNA". It matches the Rfam family "Bacterial small subunit ribosomal RNA", at positions 33 to 668 of the family's 1533-position model. The record is from RNAcentral.
ACGCUGGCGGCGUGCCUAACACAUGCAAGUCGAACGAGAAAGAGGGGGCAACCCCUUGAGUAAAGUGGCGACCGGGUGAGUAACACGUGACUAACCUACCCUUGAGUGGGGAAUAACCUUCCGAAAGGAGGGCUAAUACCGCAUAACAUCGCGAGGCGAGAUUCCUUGUGAUCAAAGGAGCAAUUCGCUUAAGGAGGGGGUCGCGGCUGAUUAGCUAGUUGGUGAGGUAACGGCUCACCAAGGCGAUGAUCAGUAUCCGGCCUGAGAGGGCGCACGGACACACUGGAACUGAAACACGGUCCAGACUCCUACGGGAGGCAGCAGUGGGGAAUUUUGCGCAAUGGGGGAAACCCUGACGCAGCAACGCCGCGUGGAGGAUGAAGGUCUUUGGAUUGUAAACUCCUUUCGAUCGGGACGAUUAUGACGGUACCGGAAGAAGAAGCACCGGCUAACUCUGUGCCAGCAGCCGCGGUAAUACAGAGGGUGCAAGCGUUGUUCGGAAUUAUUGGGCGUAAAGGGCGCGUAGGCGGUUCGGCAAGUCUCUAGUGAAAUCUCUGGCUCAACUCAGAGUCUGCUGGGGAAACUGCCGGGCUUGAGUGUGGGAGAGGAGAGUGGAAUU